Molecule: non-coding RNA, 420 nt
Organism: Delphinapterus leucas (beluga whale)
Lineage: Eukaryota; Metazoa; Chordata; Mammalia; Artiodactyla; Monodontidae
Source: RefSeq, a predicted model, not a curated record
GCAUGAUGAGAGCAGGAGAUGAUAUAAUCGAUAUUUUUUCUCCACCAGAAAAGAUUUCACAAAUAUGCGUCUAACCCUGUGUCAUCCUCUUCAAGUUUUACAGUCCACGUGUUUUAAGUCUAACAGAAAAAACAAUCAUGAGGUUGUGAGACAGUUCCAAGUCUGCAUCUACAUCCUCAGGUUGGUGACCUUGGGGCACCACUUUCAGAUAAAAACAUAGACCUGAAUGGCAUCAUCCAGUAUCCAAGGAAACCAUGUAUUCAAGUAGUCACUCCUUCUCUGCCUGAUUUGAGACCAUGUUACCUACAGCUGCAUGGGACUGCAGAACUCACUGUGCCCUUCGAAUGUUAUGCCUGUCUAUCUCACUGACCCUUGGGUUGGGUGACAGCCUUGGAUGGGGCCCGGGCUGUAUUUAUGAUC